RNAcentral lists this ribosomal RNA (466 nucleotides) under uncultured bacterium. RNAcentral describes it as "partial 16S ribosomal RNA". It matches the Rfam family "Bacterial small subunit ribosomal RNA", at positions 28 to 507 of the family's 1533-position model. The record is from RNAcentral.
GACGAACGCUGGCGGCGUGCUUAACACAUGCAAGUCGAACGGAAAGGCCCAGCUUGCUGGGUACUCGAGUGGCGAACGGGUGAGUAACACGUGGGUGAUCUGCCCUGCACUCUGGGAUAAGCCUGGGAAACUGGGUCUAAUUCCGGAUAUGACCAACUGUCGCAUGGUGGUUGGUGGAAAGCUUUUGCGGUGUGGGAUAGGCCCGCGGCCUAUCAGCUUGUUGGUGGGGUAAUGGCCUACCAAGGCGACGACGGGUAGCCGACCUGAGAGGGUGAUCGGCCACACUGGGACUGAGACACGGCCCAGACUCCUACGGGAGGCAGCAGUGGGGAAUAUUGCACAAUGGGCGCAAGCCUGAUGCAGCGACGCCGCGUGAGGGAUGACGGCCUUCGGGUUGUAAACCUCUUUCACCAGGGACGAAGCGUGAGUGACGGUACCUGGAGAAGAAGCACCGGCCAACUACGUG